Non-coding RNA from Anas platyrhynchos (mallard), 7629 nucleotides. The record is from RefSeq and is a predicted model, not a curated record. NCBI's taxonomy places the organism in Eukaryota, Metazoa, Chordata, Aves, Anseriformes, Anatidae.
UGUAUUUCUUGCAAUGUCUUUACCCACUGUUGCAGCACUGCACGCUCACUGUUCAAUUCUUCCACCAACCCUCCCACAUCACGCCAGGGCUGAUGACAGCACAGGCGAUGUGCAGGGGCUAGCUCAGGAUGUAACUCGUCUGAAGCAGGUGAGAGCUGCUGUGAUGAGGGGCUGGAAUCACCUGCAGGAGGGCACGUCCAGGAAAGGUCACUGGGACAGAUCCCCCUGCACCAGUGCCACUGAAGACCUGCAAGCCGUCUCCUGGCAGGAAUUACACCACUCUUGAGCUCACUGACCCAUUUCUCCUACGCUUACCCCAGGCCUUUCCUCACAAUGCCACUGAAAAACCACGAACUGUCACAGGAAUGGCAUUUCUCAGCUUCUAGAACGAUCUGAGUUUUACGAUGCUGCCAGUUUGAACAGGCUGUGCUAAAAUCACUCGCCUCACUUGACACCUGCCUGGGCUUGGGCUGGGAGAGGAAGCAGUGAGAGCAGCCUGUGCCCGCCAACCACCCUUGGCCUCUUUGGGGCAUUUUGCCACAGCACGGCUCAAACCUGCGUGUGCUGGGGCCCGGCGGAGGCAGGAGGAGCUGGAGGCCCUCUGGAGGAGGCAGCACAACUGGUGUUCCUGCCUGGACUAAUUCCUGUGGGGGGGACGGAGGGCAAACACCCCUCACCUUCAGUUUCACUGUGUGCCUUUCAGAAGCCGCUCCCUCACCCACAACACGCAAAAUCUGCCUGGCAGGCUGGCAACUGCAGCAUGGAGGAGGGAGGGAUCCUGCGUGCCUCUGGUGUCCCUCCUGGCAAAGCCAGCCUGAGCUAUUCAUCGCAAUACACGAGCUGUGGACCUCUGCAAGGUUUCCCUUUGCCCUGGCUUGUCCAAGGGCAUGAGCCUACCCGAACCAUCCUCUGAUGCCACCUGAACCCAGCCCCUGCAUGGAAAAACGCCGGUCGUGCCACAAGAUGAAGUGAAAUAUCAUUUCCCAGCUUAGCAGACAGAUUUGUUAUGUAUACAAUGAAUUACCAGCUCUUUCAGUGCAGUAAUUGUUCACACAUUGUUUCCCUGCCUCUUUCACUAUUUUUUUUGUGAUUCAUGCUGUUUGGUUGUCCAGUUGACAUUUCCAAAAUGAAGUUUUUAAGCCCCAGCCUUUCUCCCCUCUGCGCUCCCCUUUUUGUUUGCCUGGUUUAUGGGCCUGAGAGAAGUGUUUCCAAUCACGAUAAUAUCUUCAUGUUUUGUUGACAAAAGGUCAACCUAGGAAUAAGUCAAACUGGUUUUAGGAAAAAUAUUUGCUUAUUUAGUAAGGGGAUGUGUGUUGGAGAUCAAAUUUAUGAGGGUGAAAUUGAGUCUGGUUAUUUAAAGGACUCUGAAAUAAGAGCUUCCCACCCACUCACCAGGGGAAGAACAAGAGCUAUAAAUUGCUUUAGGCUGGAGGGAAUGCAGAAAUAAACUCAGUUUCUGUGCAAAAGGUAAUAGGAUCCAAAGCAAGAACUAAAAACAGAGCUCAACUGACAACAGCCCGUUCACUCCCUCACACGCAGCCCUCAUUCCACACUAUCGCUCCUUACAGAAUAAAGGUCAUAACUCUCCUCAAUAGUUGAGCAUCCACUUCCACAACAACCAUCCUCACCCACUGGCCAGACACUUACUUGGACUUACAUGCGAAAGAUACAGAGGUUUGGUCCUGGAAAUCUGUUUUGUAGCGUGCUUUUUUUUUUUUUUUUUUUUUUUUGUGUGUGUUUGACUUCAAAUUAUAGUUCUAAAUCAGAUAUUGGGAACACUUCCAUGAGCUUUGGGCAUGCCAAGAACCCUACCGAGUGCCGGAGGAACCACCUCUUCAUUGAACUUUGCACAAGCAGCACCGCUGAACGAAUACGUCUGGAGGAUCGUGAAGAGAUCCAGUCAUCCUUUCGACUCUGCCUCCUGCCCCGAACACUACCCACAUCUUCAGGGGGAUAAGAUGCUUGAUGGCACCUUUCAAUCCAGGCCAACAAAGCUCUUCACAAAUGUGGCAAAGGCCUAGACCCCAUGCCAGCAUCCCUCAGAAAGACCAAGGUUUCACUCUCUGGGUGCAUCUGCAUUUCUGUGAAGCUGACCACAUUUUACUGCUGGGCAAAUUAGGCAAAGAGAAGAAGAUGCUGUAGGAAAGUCAGAUGCUGCUAAUAAGCCAGGAGUUGAUUCUGCCUGGGCCUGAGCCUAAACCUUUUAAUACUUAUCUACAUAUUUUGAACAGCAGAAGAGAAUUUGCAGAUCAUCAGUGCUUCACGGUGUGUUUCCUCGUGUGACGGCUUCACAAGCACAGAUGACAGUUCUCAGGCAAAUCUGCUAAUUUGGAGAGAAAAAACGGUUUCGUCUGUUUUGCGGUGAGACACCUGAGAAGCCAAAAGGGCUGUUUCAGGAGGAAGCACAGAGAAGGUCUGUGUGCUUACAGCUGUGCUUUCAAUGCUGGAAAAUAAAUCAUCUUUCCAUGACAGACCCCAUUAUAAUUACCUUAGCAUGGAAGAGCAAUGAGGAUGUUCCUGACUUGCGGGUUGCUGUUUUGUGAAGAGGUGCAAUGGGAAUGGGGUGGUUAAUUGUAUUUGGGGAAUAAGGAGAUGAAUGACUAAGCUAUGAGAUUUCACACCAAUAUUCCUCCACCUUGUUGCAAAGAAAUGUCACCCCACCCUACCUUGAGAUGAUGGCUCUGUCAUUUCCCCCUGAAGAAACGUAGGAGAGCAGAUCUCAGGACUUCCCUGACUCUGCUCUGAUUAGGGAGAAGAAGGCAGGGAUGUAGCUACCCAGUUACCUCUCCUCGUGCCUGCUCUUUCUGCCUGUUCAGUACCAGCAGCCUGCAGUUUGGGAGCUGACCCUUCCAGCUGACGCCUGGCCAAGGUGAGCACGCACACUGCAGAAUCAGCCUGGGGCUGGAUCUAAACCAGGCAGAACCUGGCUUACCCGGGGAGUUGGCUACCUUGUCCUGCACUUGAUGGCUCUCUGGAAAAAAGCUCCAAGAAAAAAGGGGCAGCUGAGAGACCCAGCAAAAUAAAUAUUUGGUUCAGGUUCCACUGCGACCGAAAGCCCCACUCAAAACCUCAAAAUACAGAUUCAGGUUCAGUUUCUGCUUGGGGAGGUGAGGGUGAGGAAGAAGAGCAUGGUUUAGACUGGUUUCUGGCUCAGUUCACCCCCUUGCAAAAUCAUUUGGGCAACUCAGGAGCAGGAUAGAAGGAGGAAGGGAAUGUUCUGGAGCACAGCUACGGUGGAGGUGGGCUCGAGGACGAAGAUUAAUGAAGGAAGUGGCUCAACACAACAUGAUUCUGCCCCACAGGGGAAACUUGAGCUGAACUCAAAGUAUGGGCAGAACAGAGGAGCACCAGCAGCAAAGCAGGCCAGAUUAAAUCUGGUGGGGGAAAAGACACAAGCUCAAAUGAAAAGCUAUUUUUCAAGGAAAGGUUUCAAAAUGUAUAUGGUUAAAAAAAAAAAAAAAAAAAAAAAAGGUGUCUGCUAGUCCCUGGAUUCUGCACAAAAAUAAAUUAAUCCAUUGCCAAACACAAGAAACUGUAACGACCUACUUGGUAGAUCUUUCCCUUUUGGAACUGACUUGACUCUGCUCCACUUGUAUUACAUGUGCCAGCUCUUACGGUUUCCUUACUUAUGAAGACUUCACAGUUCACGUGGACAUUAAUUUUUGUCAGAGUCCAUAUGUUGCUUUUAAACCAAAGUACUGCACACGUUGCGUGCUGGCCAUGUGGCCAAGACCUCAGCAAAUGUAGAGGGUAAAACAUGAUUCCUACAAAAAGGGGGGACUCGGUGCUUUUGACUCAAGACUGUGGGAGCUGCUGAGCCAUCUGCAGUGUGUCCAAGCACUCUCAUCACUUGGGUCAGCACAGGUGGGUUUUGACCUCCUAUCCCAGCAGCCUAACAUCAACUCAGCUUCCCUUGAGCAAUAGUCUGCCAGAUGGAGCCAUAUCAUAUGCUAUUCUUAGCAGGAAUAACUCAUUUCUAGGUGUUACAAGAAACUGGAUCUGAAAUAGGUACUCAGCAUAAACAGACGCCUCUCUUGAAAUGCCCAGACUGCAGUUUCAGCACAUUGCGUCCAGCAAAAGCAUAAAGUUGAGUUUCAAGUGGUUUAACAGGUCAAAAGAGAAAAACAAACCAAUAUAUUCAUGUUUGAAAGUGUGCAUACACCUGCAUAUACAUCCACCCAGCUGCACAAUCAACAAAACACUUCCACAAUUUAAAAGCAUAACUAAGCCAAUCAGGCUGAUAUAUAGCCCUUCCCUCUAACUUAAAGCAUGCUUUCCACAUCUUCCCUUACAUCCACUCUGAAAAUGAGAGCUCCUAAGACAGCACUUCAUUUUCAGAAUGUAAAAAAGAAACCUAAAACCCCCAUAUCAUGUCUGCAGCUAUGUGCGGUGUGUGUGGAUAAUUCUGUGCCCCAGGACAGCAGAAUGUGCGCUCUACAGAUAUCAAAAUAUAUAGUGCUUUACGCACAGGCUGCGAACCAAAAUGUCUUGCAGCCAGCUGCCCAAAUAUUAGGUGCUCCUGGACCUUAGGGCAUUGAUGCCCUAUAAAUUUAGGAGUAUUUAUUAGGUGAAUACAGAACUGGAAGUUUUGUAGCAGUGGAAAAUAAGCAUGAUAAUGAGGUAAACACAUGUUGCAAAGAAAAUACCAACUAAUCGUGUGAUCUCUGCAGGAAAUAGCAGCUUUAAGCAGUCACUUCUUGAAUGCUGGAGCAAGGCCUGCGAGCUGGCUACAGGAUGGUGCACUUGUUAAUAACAUCCCUCUGCGUCCUGACAUUUUUUCCAGUACUGUAAACCCAGGUUGACAAGAAAGUAACCAAAAGGUGUUUUGCUCCUUUGAAGGCUUUGAAUGGCCGUGUGAAUGCUCCUUUCCAUUCCAGAAAGGAGAGAGCAUGGGCCUAGUGUCAGUUUUCUUUAGAGAAAUGAGAAGCAGUAUUUUUCAGGGGCCCACAGACAGCCUCGGUUACAGCUGGGGUUCCCUUCUUGCUGGCAGAAGAGACUUGAGGUACAGUGAGGUCUGUGCAUCGUGAGCUCCAUCUGGAGGUUGCUUGUUCUAAUCUGUGCGUUUUGAAAGGAACGGAGAGAAAAUCCAACAGUACUGGGUCAAAAUCAGCAAGCUCCUUCUGCAGGAAGCUCACAAAGCACUUGCUUGGGGUGUAGAGCAAGUUCCUGAUGACUUAAUGCCAGAUAUCCAGACCUGACGAUUAUGCUCAGCUCUGCUCUGAAGCUGUCAGCAUGUACAGGACUGCCGGGACAGGACUGCAUUUGGGGUGAGAAACUUCUGUGAGCUGUGUCAUACGCUCUAGAAUCACACCCAUAGCUGGACAUAUCGCUUGCCACCUCUGCUUGCUGCUUGCCUGGGCACUUAAUGUGGUCAGGAGCGUAAGGUGCCCCAGCCCCAGGCCGCUGUGCAGGUCUGGGGGUUUGCACAAGGCCUAACUACUUACAAAGAAAACACCACAGGGUAUUCAGCUAUAAUUUUACACGAAAAGUGCAGGAUUUAUGUGGGAAAAGCACCUCAAGUAGUCCAGAGGCUGAACCUGCUGAAGUUUAAGAGCUGAGCUUCUCUAGUACUGUAAGGCCACGAGCUGCAAUGGCAGCUUGGUUGUCAGCCAGCUGUGGAGAGAAAAAAUGGCUGUGUAAUUAAUUGCCCAGGGUGGUAAGCUGAUGUGCAGAGAAGUACCCAGCCGGAGUUUACAUUUCAUAGACUCUUCACAUUUUUUACCCAUGAAACUAAGCAGCCUUCUCCAAGUGUUGGGUAUCGAGGGCUGCAUGGGUUAUUUCCUCCAUUUUUUCAGCACCAUUAAGAAUCAGUUAUGUAGGCCUUCUUCCACGGCAGGGUUGUAACAGGGAGCACCGCAUGCCGCUUAGGAGAAAAAGCAGGUCUUGACACAUACACAGACCAUCAGGAGAAGAUUUUUGACUUGCAACAAGAACUGGUUAAUAUUGCCAACAGGAUAUAAAAAAUUUGAGGCAGAGCACACAGGAAUAAGAUCACAGUGAUGACCCAUCACACAGGCUGUGAGAAAGAGGCUGAUGAAAAGGGGAAGGCUUAUAGCUGUACAGAUCCCUUUUCAUAUACUGUGGUGGCCUCUCCUUUCCUGGCCACAUACUGGUUUAUGGCUAUCUUUAGAGAAGAAAGAGAUAUUCAAUCUCCCCUAUUCAGUGAUGUAUGUACCUGGCUGAAAAGGGAAAAUAUUCAGAUUUGUCCUGUUACAUGAUGGUGGGUAUCAAGUACAAACCUGAUUUCUGAAUGGCAAGACAAUCACUGAUGGGGUGCCAACAGCUUUCGAAUGGGUGAUUUUUCCACAGCUGAUACAGCUACCAUGGCAUUUACUGGAACCAUCCUGUGGGGACCACCUUUGGGUAUUCGUAACACACAAUGCAACAAAAGAUGGACCACCGACAGAGAGCGGGUUUUAGCAUCAGAUCUGUAUGGGAGCACAAGCGAGCUGCUAUGAAAAGAAACAGAUGGGGAGCUCAUGGGCUUAGCCAGCACCAACUGCCCAGGCCUUGAUCCCCAGAGAUGUGCUUGUUGGCAGCAGGGCAAAUGCAAUUUGUCUGUACUACAAAGCAGCCUCCCAAUGAAAAGAUACAGCUUUAUGCAUACUAUGAUUUUGCUAGUUUCUAUCCUUUCAUAAGCAAAAAUAACACCCUCUAGGGAACCCAGAAAUCAUUGUUUUGAGACUUGACAUGCUGGCUGCCUAUUUUGCAGUAAGGGUGUACCCACCUGGUGGGCUCUUUUUUUCUGUUUCCCAAGAGGAUAAGUAGUGAACUGUUGUUUCUCCUGUCCUGCACCUGUGCAGGCCCUCUGCAUCCACAGUGAUUAAAAUGAAGAGCCCUUGUGAACACCUGGAAUUGAACUAGGCUCUGGAGAAAGUCUGCUGAGAUUACAGCAUAAAUCGAGAUUGCAACAACCCUAAAAAGUGCAUAGCAGAGCAGCUCUAUCACCAGGAGCAAGGAAAGGGUGAGAGAAACCAGGCCUGUCAGAAGGUGCAGAAUGUGGUCUAUGGUCCAUGACAAGAGACCAAAAUUGCUUUUGGUCUCUGCUUUUGCUCAGGGGCAGCACUGGGCUGGAAUGGAUCCCUAGGCAGAGCAGGGGAGGGCCCAGGGGUGGCUGGGCAGGGACAACCGGGCCCAGCAGUGCCCAGGGGGCCAGCAGCCCCAUGGUGGCCUCCUGGCAGAAGCCCACGGCCCUGGGGCAUGCUCAACCUCCUGGCACCCCAAGCUGGACCUGUUCUCUAAUCCCAGCAAGCAGGGCACCCAAUCCUGCCCUCUGCCUUUGUUCAAUACCUCCAUUCACAUGUAAACUUUAGUAAGAGUUCAAGAAAUGGAUAAAGUGCUAAUCCAGUUUAUACCCACACAUUUAAAUCAUGUGUGCUUUUUUCUAAAUGUAUGCAAUAUGUACACAAGUACACAUUAGAAGUAAAUCCAUGCAUAAUAUAUAUAUAUAUUUGUACUCUCCUUCAGAUACCUAUAUUCAUAUACACAAGAGAGAAGAACAUCUAUUGUUACACAUUAGCAUUUCCUGCUCCAAAGAAAAUGGGCAACCAGUCAGAAUGGGAUGUCUUUUGUCAUCCUUUGAUAAGGUGCCUACUCCCACUUUGAACAUUGCUUUAUUCUUGCCUCUAA